This 442-nucleotide ribosomal RNA is filed under the name uncultured bacterium. Its description in RNAcentral is "bacterial SSU rRNA". It matches the Rfam family "Bacterial small subunit ribosomal RNA", at positions 78 to 518 of the family's 1533-position model. The record is from RNAcentral.
GCUAACUUGCCGGCGACCGGCGCACGGUGAGUAACGCGUAUCCAACCUCCCCUUAGUAGGGCAUAGCCCGUAGAAAUGCGGAUUAAUACCCUAUGUUAUUCGUCGAUGACAUCUGAAGUGAAUCAAAGGUUUACCGCUAAGGGAUGGGGAUGCGUCUGAUUAGGCGAGCAGGCGGGGUAACGGCCCACCUGGCCGACGAUCAGUAGGGUUCUGAGAGGAAGGUCCCCCACAUUGGAACUGAGACACGGUCCAAACUCCUACGGGAGGCAGCAGUGAGGAAUAUUGGUCAAUGGUCGAGAGACUGAACCAGCCAAGUAGGCCGUGCAGGAUGACGGCCCUAUGGGUUGUAAACUGUCUUUUAUGCGGGGAUAAAGUGAGGGACGUCGUCCUUUUUGUAGGUACCGCAUGAAUAAGGACCGGCUAAUUCCGUGCCAGCAGCCGC